AGAGUUUGAUCCUGGCUCAGGAUGAACGCUAGCUACAGGCUUAACACAUGCAAGUCGAGGGGCAGCAUGGUCUUAGCUUGCUAAGGCCGAUGGCGACCGGCGCACGGGUGAGUAACACGUAUCCAACCUGCCGAUGACUCGGGGAUAGCCUUUCGAAAGAAAGAUUAAUACCCGAUGGCAUAGUUCUUCCGCAUGGUGGAACUAUUAAAGAAUUUCGGUCAUCGAUGGGGAUGCGUUCCAUUAGGUUGUUGGCGGGGUAACGGCCCACCAAGCCUUCGAUGGAUAGGGGUUCUGAGAGGAAGGUCCCCCACAUUGGAACUGAGACACGGUCCAAACUCCUACGGGAGGCAGCAGUGAGGAAUAUUGGUCAAUGGACGAGAGUCUGAACCAGCCAAGUAGCGUGAAGGAUGACUGCCCUAUGGGUUGUAAACUUCUUUUAUACGGGAAUAAAGUGAGGCACGUGUGCCUUUUUGUAUGUACCGUAUGAAUAAGGAUCGGCUAACUCCGUGCCAGCAGCCGCGGUAAUACGGAGGAUCCGAGCGUUAUCCGGAUUUAUUGGGUUUAAAGGGAGCGUAGGCGGACGCUUAAGUCAGUUGUGAAAGUUUGCGGCUCAACCGUAAAAUUGCAGUUGAUACUGGGUGUCUUGAGUACAGUAGAGGCAGGCGGAAUUCGUGGUGUAGCGGUGAAAUGCUUAGAUAUCACGAAGAACUCCGAUUGCGAAGGCAGCUUGCUGGACUGUAACUGACGCUGAUGCUCGAAAGUGUGGGUAUCAAACAGGAUUAGAUACCCUGGUAGUCCACACAGUAAACGAUGAAUACUCGCUGUUUGCGAUAUACAGUAAGCGGCCAAGCGAAAGCGUUAAGUAUUCCACCUGGGGAGUACGCCGGCAACGGUGAAACUCAAAGGAAUUGACGGGGACCCGCACAAGCAGCGGAGCAUGUGGUUUAAUUCGAAGCAACGCGAAGAACCUUACCAGGGCUUGACAUCCCUCUGACAGAUCCUUAAACGGAUUUUUCUUCGGACAGAGGAGACAGGUGGUGCAUGGUUGUCGUCAGCUCGUGUCGUGAGAUGUUGGGUUAAGUCCCGCAACGAGCGCAACCCCUAUAUUCAGUAGCCAGCAGGUAAGGCUGGGCACUCUGGACAGACUGCCGGGGAUAACCCGGAGGAAGGCGGGGAUGACGUCAAAUCAUCAUGCCCCUUACGGCCUGGGCUACACACGUGCUACAAUGGCGUAAACAAAGGGAAGCGAGAGGGUGACCUGGAGCGAAUCCCAAAAAUAACGUCCCAGUUCGGACUGUAGUCUGCAACCCGACUACACGAAGCUGGAAUCGCUAGUAAUCGCGAAUCAGAAUGUCGCGGUGAAUACGUUCCCGGGUCUUGCACUCACCGCCCGUCAAG
RNAcentral lists this ribosomal RNA (1398 nucleotides) under uncultured bacterium. Its description in RNAcentral is "partial 16S ribosomal RNA". It matches the Rfam family "Bacterial small subunit ribosomal RNA". The record is from RNAcentral.